Molecule: long non-coding RNA, 587 nt
Organism: Neofelis nebulosa (Clouded leopard)
Lineage: Eukaryota; Metazoa; Chordata; Mammalia; Carnivora; Felidae
Exons: 3
Source: RefSeq, a predicted model, not a curated record
GGCAGACAUUUAAUGGUUCUAAGCAAGAGGAGUUACAAAAAAUUAGCUUUGUAUUUGGAAGAGAUUGAGACCAGACAAAAAGACACCAAUUAAAAGGCUCUGACCUCCAAGGCCCCUUCAAAGAAAGAAUUGAAGAGUACCAAAACUCAGAGGGAGUCAAAGGAGAAACAGAAAAAGCACCUGAACCGGGGCUGAUGAAAAGUAUCAACAAAAGGUCUUGCAGGAAACUUCAAAGUGCCCUUUGCGCGACCAUGGAAAGAUGAUGAGCCGUAAAAGAAGUGCUUGGAAAGCAACUUGCAUUCCCUUAACAGCUCUAACCACACUACACAGCGAUUCUGAAUAGAAGAUUCAAAAGGAAAUUUUUAAUGACCGUGCCUGUAUUUGAGCAAUUUUCCCCAAGAUGCGCUUUGGUAAAUUCCCCACAUUUUCUAACUGCAAGAAUUCAUCAGACCUCAGGAAAUUUUCUCCUAUACCUUUUACCUUUCCAACAGCAACAACAUACCCUCACCCAAAAAGAGAAACUUUACGUGAAAUUGAGGUCACUGCCUAUGCUUGGAUCAGCUCUGAAUACAGUCCCUUGGUGUGUG